RNAcentral lists this ribosomal RNA (377 nucleotides) under uncultured eukaryote. Its description in RNAcentral is "SSU rRNA". It matches the Rfam family "Eukaryotic small subunit ribosomal RNA", at positions 587 to 972 of the family's 1831-position model. The record is from RNAcentral.
AGCUCCAAUAGCGUAUAUUAAAGUUGUUGCAGUUAAAAAGCUCGUAGUUGGAUUUCUGGCUCGGUGAGGCGGUCCCUCUCGCGAGGCGCACUGCAGCGCCGGGCCAUCCUCUCGAAGGCGGGUGGUGUCAUUAAUUUGAUGUCGCACGAACUCGAGACCUUUACUUUGAAAAAUUAGAGUGUUCAAAGCAGGCAUACGCUUGAAUACAUUAGCAUGGAAUAAUGGAAUAGGACUUUGGUUCUAUUUUGUUGGUUUCUAGGACCGAAGUAAUGAUUAAUAGGGACAGUUGGGGGCAUUAGUAUUUAAUUGUCAGAGGUGAAAUUCUUGGAUUUAUGAAAGACUAACUACUGCGAAAGCAUUUGCCAAGGAUGUUUUCA